This 358-nucleotide ribosomal RNA is filed under the name uncultured Paenibacillus sp. Its description in RNAcentral is "bacterial SSU rRNA". It matches the Rfam family "Bacterial small subunit ribosomal RNA", at positions 1026 to 1382 of the family's 1533-position model. The record is from RNAcentral. Lineage: Bacteria; Bacillati; Bacillota; Bacilli; Caryophanales; Paenibacillaceae.
ACAGGGUGACAGGUGGUGGCUAUGGUUAGUCGUUCAGCUCGUGUCGUGAGAUGUUGGGUUAAGUCCCGCAACGAGCGCAACCCUCGACCUUAGUUGCCAGCAUUCAGUUGGGCACUCAAGGUGACUGCCGGCUAAAAGUCGGAGGAAGUGGGGAUGACGUCAAAUCAUCAUGCCCCUUAUGACCUGGGCUACACACGUGCUACAAUGGGCGGUACAAAGGGUCGCGAACCCGCGAGGGGGAGCCAAUCCCAAAAAAGCCGCUCUCAGUUCGGAUUGCAGGCUGCAACUCGCCUGCAUGAAGCCGGAAUCGCUAGUAAUCGCGGAUCAGCAUGCCGCGGUGAAUACGUUCCCGGGCCUU